GAUUCAGUGAUGACUCUCUCUGUUUAUGAACAGCUGCAUGAAAUCCUUCAGGAGAAACUGCCCCUCCRGGCUGUUUAGAUUGGGAAAGAGAUCCCGAAUCCCUGUCAGCUGGGAGGAGCCAGGAUCAGACUGAGGAUGGAGCAGGGAGCUGCCAGCCAGGAGGAGCACGUGGAGACAGCUCCGGCCCUGCAGAGCCCUGUUGGAGUAGAGGUGGCUGCUGCCAGAGCACCUUCCCAAGAACUUCCAAUCUGUUUGAAGCUUCAGGCUGUACCUGGUGACAGUGUAGUGAGCCCAUGGACCUGCAGCCUGGGAGAAAUGAUGGAUGAGCUCUCCAGAGGGAGAAAAUCUUUGCAGUUUUAAAAUACAGCUUGUGUGAUGCCCUCAUCUUCAUUUCUUCCUCACAUCCCUUCACUUCCAGCAWGCAUCCUGAGCACAACCCACAGCUACAGACCUGCAGGAACCUGAAUUAAAAGGGAGAAAAAUGGUUUACAACAGCCUGUGGCAGCGAUGUAGCAAGAGGCCUUAUGUAAGAGCUGGCUCACAGAGGAGAGGUGGAGGAAUGAGUGAUCCUGGAAGGAUGUUUCUCUGAGGUGUGUUCUGUGCCUGGGCUGGGAACAGCAGUCUCAAGGGCACAAAUUCCAGCAUCUGAAUGUGCUUGGUCUUGUUCAACUCAUUAAUUUCCUGCAGGUAUCCCAAGUCAAGCUGCGAAAUCUCCUAGUGCUUUGCUCCAAGCCUUUCGUGGCCUGUCAAUAAAUUAUUUUCCAAUUAACUACCUGAUAAUUUGAGUCUGCAGGCUUUUAAAGGAGGCAGUGUGGUGUGAGAGRGAAGAUAAURGAAGUCACAGACUUUACCCUGCCCRURAAAAUGAAUAAAAGUUCUUUGAAGCAUUAUUCAACUUGGUGCUUCCAAAAGGGGCUCAGGACUCCAGAGUGUGAAACACUGCCUGCCUUASGAAUUAGCUGAUCUCCCUUGUACAAUGGGCACCUUCUCACUGAAGCUGCUAUUUCAGAUUUCCCUGAUGCUGUCAAAGUCUCUCACUCCUUUGAAAGCGUUGAAUUCUUUCUGCUUAGCUCAGUCAUUUAAUUGAAAGAAAAUCAACUUAAAACAGAUAAAAUACUGUCUUAAACCAAGUGCAGCUAUGGGCAAAGAAGAAAAAAUACCAGCAUAAUCCACAGUUAACACUCGAUCUCUUCAGCGUUUAUACCACAUGAUGGGAACCCGUGUGCUCUCCCAUUGCUUGUAGGAGGC
Long non-coding RNA from Malurus melanocephalus (red-backed fairy wren), 1248 nucleotides. RefSeq lists it as uncharacterized. The transcript has 6 exons. The record is from RefSeq and is a predicted model, not a curated record. Lineage: Eukaryota; Metazoa; Chordata; Aves; Passeriformes; Maluridae.